This 235-nucleotide ribosomal RNA is filed under the name uncultured bacterium. RNAcentral's name for it is "partial 16S ribosomal RNA". It matches the Rfam family "Bacterial small subunit ribosomal RNA", at positions 104 to 334 of the family's 1533-position model. The record is from RNAcentral.
CGGGACGGGGUGAGUAAUGUCUGGGAAACUAGCCUGAUGAGGGGGGAUAACUACUGGAAACGGUAGCUAAUACCGCAUAACGUCGCAAGACCAAAGAGGGGGACCUUCGGGCCUCUUGCCAUCGGAUGUGCCCAGAUGGGAUUAGCUAGUAGGUGGGGUAACGGCUCACCUAGGCGACGAUCCCUAGCUGGUCUGAGAGGAUGACCAGCCACACUGGAACUGAGACACGGUCCAG